GACGAACCGUCCAAACGUUAUUCGGAAUUACUGGGCGUAAAGCGUGCGUAGGUGGUUUGUUAAGUCUGAUGUGAAAGCCCUGGGCUCAACCUGGGAAUGGCAUUGGAUACUGGCGAGCUAGAGUGCGGUAGAGGGUAGUGGAAUUCCCGGUGUAGCAGUGAAAUGCGUAGAGAUCGGGAGGAACAUCUGUGGCGAAGGCGACUACCUGGACCAGCACUGACACUGAGGCACGAAAGCGUGGGGAGCAAACAGG
Molecule: ribosomal RNA, 253 nt
Filed under: uncultured bacterium
Lineage: Bacteria
Description: partial 16S ribosomal RNA
Rfam family: Bacterial small subunit ribosomal RNA
Source: RNAcentral